Molecule: transfer RNA, 71 nt
Filed under: Loxodonta africana (African savanna elephant)
Lineage: Eukaryota; Metazoa; Chordata; Mammalia; Proboscidea; Elephantidae
Rfam family: tRNA
About the family: Transfer RNA (tRNA) molecules are approximately 80 nucleotides in length. Their secondary structure includes four short double-helical elements and three loops (D, anti-codon, and T loops).
Source: Rfam by way of RNAcentral
GCAUUGGUUGUUCAGUGGUAGAAUUCUCUUCUUCCAUGAAGAAGACCUGGGUUCAACUCCCGGCUAAUGUA